This 497-nucleotide ribosomal RNA is filed under the name uncultured bacterium. Its description in RNAcentral is "partial 16S ribosomal RNA". It matches the Rfam family "Bacterial small subunit ribosomal RNA", at positions 28 to 507 of the family's 1533-position model. The record is from RNAcentral.
GAUGAACGCUGGCGGCGUGCCUAAUACAUGCAAGUCGAGCGAACGGACGAGAAGCUUGCUUCUCUGAUGUUAGCGGCGGACGGGUGAGUAACACGUGGAUAACCUACCUAUAAGACUGGGAUAACUUCGGGAAACCGGAGCUAAUACCGGAUAAUAUUUUGAACCGCAUGGUUCAAAAGUGAAAGACGGUCUUGCUGUCACUUAUAGAUGGAUCCGCGCUGCAUUAGCUAGUUGGUAAGGUAACGGCUUACCAAGGCAACGAUGCAUAGCCGACCUGAGAGGGUGAUCGCCCACACUGGAGCUGAGACACGGUCCAGACUCCUACGGGAGGCAGCAGUAGGGAAUCUUCCGCAAUGGGCGAAAGCAUGACGGAGCAACGCCGCGUGAGUGAUGAAGGUCUUCGGAGCGUAAAACUCUGUUAUUAGGGAAGAACAUAUGUGUAAGUAACUGUGCACAUCUUGACGGUACCUAAUCAGAAAGCCACGGCUAACUACGUG